AUCUGCCUAUUAGUGGGGGACAACAUCUCGAAAGGGAUGCUAAUACCGCAUACGUCCUACGGGAGAAAGCAGGGGAUCUUCGGACCUUGCGCUAAUAGAUGAGCCUAAGUCGGAUUAGCUAGUUGGUGGGGUAAAGGCCUACCAAGGCGACGAUCUGUAGCGGGUCUGAGAGGAUGAUCCGCCACACUGGGACUGAGACACGGCCCAGACUCCUACGGGAGGCAGCAGUGGGGAAUAUUGGACAAUGGGGGCAACCCUGAUCCAGCCAUGCCGCGUGUGUGAAGAAGGCCUUAUGGUUGUAAAGCACUUUAAGCGAGGAGGGAGGCUACUUUAGUUAAUACCCUAGAGAUAGUGGACGUUACUCGCAGAAUAAGCACCGGCUAACUCUGUGCCAGCAGCCGCGGUAAUACAGAGGGUGCAAGCGUUAAUCGGAUUUACUGGGCGUAAAGCGCGCGUAGGCGGCUAAUUAAGUCAAAUGUGAAAUCCCCGAGCUUAACUUGGGAAUUGCAUUCGAUACUGGUUAGCUAGAGUGUGGGAGAGGAUGGUAGAAUUCCAGGUGUAGCGGUGAAAUGCGUAGAGAUCUGGAGGAAUACCGAUGGCGAAGGCAGCCAUCUGGCCUAACACUGACGCUGAGGUGCGAAAGCAUGGGGAGCAAACAGGAUUAGAUACCCUGGUAGUCCAUGCCGUAAACGAUGUCUACUAGCCGUUGGGGCCUUUGAGGCUUUAGUGGCGCAGCUAACGCGAUAAGUAGACCGCCUGGGGAGUACGGUCGCAAGACUAAAACUCAAAUGAAUUGACGGGGGCCCGCACAAGCGGUGGAGCAUGUGGUUUAAUUCGAUGCAACGCGAAGAACCUUACCUGGCCUUGACAUAGUAAGAACUUUCCAGAGAUGGAUUGGUGCCUUCGGGAACUUACAUACAGGUGCUGCAUGGCUGUCGUCAGCUCGUGUCGUGAAAUGUUGCGGUUAAGUCCCGCAACGAGCGCAACCCUUUUCCUUAUUUGCCAGCGAGUAAUGUCGGGAACUUUAAGGAUACUGCCAGUGACAAACUGGAGGAAGGCGGGGACGACGUCAAGUCAUCAUGGCCCUUACGGCCAGGGCUACACACGUGCUACAAUGGUCGGAAGGGUUGCUACACAGCGAUGUGAUGCUAAUCUCAAAAAGCCGAUCGUAGUCCGGAUUGGAGUCUGCAACUCGACUCCAUGAAGUCGGAAUCGCUAGUAAUCGCGGAUCAGAAUGCCGCGGUGAAUACGUUCCCGGGCCUUGUACACA
Molecule: ribosomal RNA, 1270 nt
Filed under: Acinetobacter sp. 95
Lineage: Bacteria; Pseudomonadati; Pseudomonadota; Gammaproteobacteria; Moraxellales; Moraxellaceae
Description: bacterial SSU rRNA
Rfam family: Bacterial small subunit ribosomal RNA
Source: RNAcentral